GGAUAUGAGGAUGAUCUGGCUGUGACAUCUGUCACGUUAGCGAUGGCCAGGGUUGAUUUGGCUAGUUCAGCUGAUGAGACAGCUGUUCCCUUUUCCUUCCUUAUUGCUCC
RNAcentral lists this small RNA (110 nucleotides) under Otolemur garnettii (small-eared galago). RNAcentral's name for it is "7SK RNA (ENSOGAG00000023093.1)". It matches the Rfam family "7SK RNA", at positions 1 to 108 of the family's 331-position model. From Rfam's summary of the family: 7SK was discovered as an abundant small nuclear RNA in the mid-70s but a possible function has only recently been suggested. Two independent studies have found that 7SK RNA binds the CDK9/cyclin T complex (known as elongation factor P-TEFb). Lineage: Eukaryota; Metazoa; Chordata; Mammalia; Primates; Galagidae. The record is from RNAcentral.